RNAcentral lists this ribosomal RNA (1005 nucleotides) under Triticum aestivum (bread wheat). Its description in RNAcentral is "partial small subunit ribosomal RNA". Lineage: Eukaryota; Viridiplantae; Streptophyta; Magnoliopsida; Poales; Poaceae. The record is from RNAcentral.
AUGCACUUGUUCAUCAGGCAAUAUGAGAAGAUGCAAUUUGACCGCGAUUCCGAAGAAAGUUACCAAGAGAAAAGGACAAAACUGGGUGGGGUUGUCCUGAAGCAAAAUAUCCCAAUUGAGGUACAUGCGUCGGAGGUGUACAUCAGGACAAUGUUUGAGAAAUUUGGUGAAGUGUUGUAUGGAUGUGGAUCUUAUGACCUAAUAGAAGUCAAGCCACGCUUGGAGUACAUUGCUAGGCACAUCAAAUUUCAGUCAAAGGAAAAAUGGUGCAAGAACGAGUUUGUGAUCACUGUGAGCGAGGCAGCCGACGAGUUCAAGUGUGAGUGUGGGACGUCUGAGCACUAUGGAAUGGUGUGCAGCCAUGCACUUAAGGUGAUGAUACACCUAAAACUGCGUGAGCUCCCUGUGAAGCAUGUGCUGAAGCGAUGGACAAAAGACGCGACAGAUAUACUGCCGCCAGAGUAUUUGCGCUACCAAAAGGAUCAUGGGCCGCUCAAGUAUUCCUCUCGCCGACACAACACUUUAUACCUCUUGGCGCUGGAUGUUGUUAAGUUAGGUGACAGCAAUGUGGAAGCAUAUGCUCUUGCUGAGGAAAAACUGCGACAUGUCAAAGUGCAGCUGGAGCCAGUUGCUGCUGUGAGGGAUGGACUUGGGUUGUUUGAUAAGGAGCUGGCCGCAGAUUCAGCGGGUUCCGGCGUUGGUAACAAGCAGCACUUUGGUCGACCUGAGUCUGAGCACACCAUUUCACAGGGAUCGGAUGUGUUCCCAGCUGCAUCAAAGAAGCGGCCGGCUGGGCGCCCUACAACCAGCCGUGACAAGGCUCCAUAUGAACAACCAUCAAAGAGGACUAGGUUUUGUUCAAUAUGCAGACUUCAGGGGCACAAGAGCACGACAUGCCCUGCAAGGGGUGAUGUGCCAAAGGCGCCCCGGAAAUCUCCUCGCUGCUCAAAAUGUGGUUUGACCGGGCAUAGGAAGAACACAUGCAGCAACCCCCCGAAAGUAUGA